Molecule: ribosomal RNA, 462 nt
Filed under: uncultured bacterium
Lineage: Bacteria
Description: partial 16S ribosomal RNA
Rfam family: Bacterial small subunit ribosomal RNA
Source: RNAcentral
ACGAACGCUGGCGGCGUGCUUAACACAUGCAAGUCGAACGGAAAGGCCUUUUCGGAGGUACUCGAGUGGCGACCGGGUGAGUAACACGUGGGUGAUCUGCCCUGCACUCUGGGAUAAGCCUGGGAAACUGGGUCUAAUACCGGAUAGGACCGCACUCUAGUGUGUGUGGUGGAAAGUUGUUUCGGUGUAGGAUGAGCCCGCGGCCUAUCAGCUUGUUGGUGGGGUAAUGGCCUACCAAGGCGGCGACGGGUAGCCGGACUGAGAGGUUGGUCGGCCACAUUGGGACUGAGGUACGGCACAGACGCCUACGGGAGGCAGCAGUGGGGAAUAUUGAACAAUGGGCGCAAGCCUGAUGCAGCGACGCCGCGUGGGGGAUGACGGCCUUCGGGUUGUAAACUCCUUGCGCCAGGGACGAAGCGUUUUGUGACGGUACCUGGAGAAGAAGCACCGGCUAACUACGUG